AGAGCUAACCCCCCGUUAGAGCUUCUAACUCUGAUUAAAGCGUUUAAUCGUUUUUAGCUC
RNAcentral lists this transfer RNA (60 nucleotides) under Cryptorhynchinae sp. 4 ACP-2013. RNAcentral describes it as "tRNA-Ser". The record is from RNAcentral. Lineage: Eukaryota; Metazoa; Arthropoda; Insecta; Coleoptera; Curculionidae.